GUGAGGAAUAUUGCGCAAUGGAGGCAACUCUGACGCAGCCAUGCCGCGUGCAGGAAGAAGGCGCUACGCGUUGUAAACUGCUUUUAACCGGGAAGAAACCCCAGGACGUGUCCUGGGUUGACGGUACCGGAGGAAUAAGCACCGGCUAACUUCGUGCCAACAGCCGCGGUAAUACGAAGGGUGCAAGCGUUAUCCGGAUUCAUUGGGUUUAAAGGGUGCGUAGGCGGAGCGUUAAGUCAGUGGUGAAAUCCUGCAGCUUAACUGUAGACUUGCCAUUGAUACUGGCGCUCUUGAGUGCGCUUGAAGUGGGCGGAAUGUGCCGUGUAGCGGUGAAAUGCUUAGAUAUGGCACAGAACACCAAUUGCGAAGGCAGCUCACUAAGGCGAUACUGACGCUGAGGCACGAAAGCGUGGGGAUCGAACAGGAUUAGAAACCCUAGUAGUCC
RNAcentral lists this ribosomal RNA (445 nucleotides) under uncultured bacterium. Its description in RNAcentral is "partial 16S ribosomal RNA". It matches the Rfam family "Bacterial small subunit ribosomal RNA", at positions 354 to 796 of the family's 1533-position model. The record is from RNAcentral.